CAGCCGCCGCGGUAAUACGUAGGGUGCAAGCGUUAAUCGGAAUUACUGGGCGUAAAGCGUGCGCAGGCGGUUAUAUAAGACAGAUGUGAAAUCCCCGGGCUCAACCUGGGAACUGCAUUUGUGACUGUAUAGCUAGAGUACGGCAGAGGGGGAUGGAAUUCCGCGUGUAGCAGUGAAAUGCGUAGAUAUGCGGAGGAACACCGAUGGCGAAGGCAAUCCCCUGGGCCUGUACUGACGCUCAUGCACGAAAGCGUGGGGAGCAAACAGGAUUAGAUACCCCCGUAGUCCCUGUCUCUUAUAC
This 301-nucleotide ribosomal RNA is filed under the name uncultured bacterium. RNAcentral's name for it is "partial 16S ribosomal RNA". It matches the Rfam family "Bacterial small subunit ribosomal RNA", at positions 509 to 807 of the family's 1533-position model. The record is from RNAcentral.